UACGGAGGAUGCAAGCGUUAUCCGGAUUUAUUGGGCGUAAAGCGUCCGUAGGUGGCCAUCCAAGUCAGUUGUUAAAGCGUAGAGCUUAACUCUAUAAGGGCAAUUGAAACUGGAUAGCUAGAGUGCGAUAGGGGCAAGGGGAAUUCCCAGUGUAGCGGUGAAAUGCGUAGAUAUUGGGAAGAACAUCGGUGGCGAAGGCGCCUUGCUGGGUCUGCACUGACACUGAGGGACGAAAGCUAGGGGAGCGAAAGGG
Molecule: ribosomal RNA, 253 nt
Filed under: uncultured bacterium
Lineage: Bacteria
Description: partial 16S ribosomal RNA
Rfam family: Bacterial small subunit ribosomal RNA
Source: RNAcentral